UCCAACUGAAGUUAACUGGUCCUUUGUUGCUUCUCCAGUCUAAGCUCUGUGGAGGGACGUCAAGGCCAGAAUGGGAUCCAGAAGGGUGGAGGAUGGGGUUGCCUUAGUAGCAUGAAGGAUUGGUGGGAGGCAAGAAGAGCCGAAAGUUACUUUUUAAAUAAUUUGGCUCAUAUUUGAAUUUAUCUGAUUAGUAGAGCAAUGUCUGGCAUCCCUCCUGCUUGGAAGGCAGACUUCCCUUUUCCAGCCAAAUUCAGUAAGUUUCAGGAAUUGUCUGGAAUUUUUGUGGAAUCAUGAGAAAAUUUGAACACAAAUAUCUCCCGUGGACUAACUGAGCAAGAACUCAUUUAUCACCAAGGGGAUGGUGCCAAGCCAUUCAUGAGGGAUCUGCGCCUGUGAUCCGAACACCUUCCACUAGGCUCCACUUCCAACACUGGGAAUCACAUUUCAACAUGAGAGUUGGAGUUGACAAAUGUCCAAACCAUGUCUCCAUCCAACCAUCUAUACAGGAGCUAAAAAAACUGGAUCUCACAAAAGUAAAGAGCAGACUGAUGGUAACCAGAGGCUGUGAAUGGAAGGGGAAAGGGAAGGGAUGCAAGGGAAAAAAAGAAGGACAGGACUAAGAGAAAGGCAGAGAUUCAUGGCUUUUUAAAAUGGUAUUUAUGGUUAUUCCCUCCUCCACCUCAUCCCUAACUUACCGGAAGACAAAAUGACAUGGGAAGAAGAGGAAAGUUGUUAGAAGGGGAGCUCUAGACAGCCAGGAAAGCUGGAGUCACAAGUGGACAAGGAGACCCAUGGAAGCGACUCAUGAUAGAAAUGGUUCUCCUUUGGUCAUCUGCAAACUUUACCCAACAAUGGUAUCUCCUGGUAUCGUAUGAAAUAAAACCAGAAGUCUGGUAUUUUGGUCCCAGCUGUUAAGACUUCUGCCUGGAUUAAGCCUUCUUUUCCAUCUCUCUGAGGGGCCACCCUGCUCAGAUUUCUCACACUUGGGCAACCUGCCUUGAUAUGUGAAUCUUACUUAGGAAAACAGACAAUUUUCUCUGGUCACUAUCUCAGCCCACAAGGGAGAUUUAGCAUUUUUAGUCGACCCUCUUC
Molecule: long non-coding RNA, 1092 nt
Filed under: Homo sapiens (human)
Lineage: Eukaryota; Metazoa; Chordata; Mammalia; Primates; Hominidae
Description: HSALNT0393607
Source: RNAcentral